GUCGCUCCUACCGAUUGAGUGUUCCGGUGAAUAAUUCGGACUGCAGCAGUGUUCGGCAACGAGUACUGCAGCGGAAAGUUUAGUGAACCUUAACACUUAGAGGAAGGAG
RNAcentral lists this ribosomal RNA (109 nucleotides) under uncultured eukaryote. RNAcentral's name for it is "partial small subunit ribosomal RNA". It matches the Rfam family "Eukaryotic small subunit ribosomal RNA", at positions 1675 to 1785 of the family's 1831-position model. The record is from RNAcentral.